AGAAAUGUGCCUGCACUGUGGGCGUGAUGCUGUGCACUGUGGAAGGAAAAGGAGUUAAAUGAGAAAUGAUGGUGGGCGCUGAGCCUGAGCAACGCCGCUUUGUGCCGCAGCAUCAACCUGUGGGAAAUGGCGGAGUUCCUGCUGAAACAGGACGUGGUCAACGCCAUCAACCUGGAUGGGGGUGGCUCUGCCACCUUUGUGCUCAACGGGACCUUGGCCAGUUACCCGUCAGAUCACUGCCAGGACAACAUGUGGCGCUGUCCCCGCCAAGUGUCCACCGUGGUGUGUGUGCACGAACCCCGCUGCCAGCCGCCUGACUGCCACGGCCACGGGACCUGCGUGGACGGGCACUGCCAAUGCACCGGGCACUUCUGGCGGGGUCCCGGCUGUGAUGAGCUGGACUGUGGCCCCUCUAACUGCAGCCAGCACGGACUGUGCACGGAGACCGGCUGCCGCUGUGAUGCCGGAUGGACCGGGUCCAACUGCAGUGAAGAGUGUCCCCUUGGCUGGCAUGGGCCGGGCUGCCAGAGGCCUUGUAAGUGUGAGCACCAUUGUCCCUGCGACCCCAAGACUGGCAACUGCA
RNAcentral lists this small RNA (583 nucleotides) under Pan troglodytes (chimpanzee). RNAcentral's name for it is "retained intron". The record is from RNAcentral. Lineage: Eukaryota; Metazoa; Chordata; Mammalia; Primates; Hominidae.